Molecule: ribosomal RNA, 241 nt
Filed under: uncultured bacterium
Lineage: Bacteria
Description: partial 16S ribosomal RNA
Rfam family: Bacterial small subunit ribosomal RNA
Source: RNAcentral
GGAGGAGGCAAGGCGUUAUCCGGAAUGAUUGGGCGUAAAGGCGUCCGCAGGUGGCAAUUCAAGUCUGCUGUUAAAGCCGGCAGGGCUUAACUCUGUAAAGGCAGUGGAAACUGAAUAGCUAGAGUGUGGUAGGGGCAGAGGGAAGUUCCCAGUGUAGCGGUGAAAUGACGUAGAGAUUGGAAGAACAUCGGUGGCGAAGGCGCUCUGCUGGACCAUAACUGACACUCACAGGGACGAAAGC